This 253-nucleotide ribosomal RNA is filed under the name uncultured bacterium. RNAcentral describes it as "partial 16S ribosomal RNA". It matches the Rfam family "Bacterial small subunit ribosomal RNA", at positions 524 to 776 of the family's 1533-position model. The record is from RNAcentral.
UACGUAGGUGGCAAGCGUUAUCCGGAAUUAUUGGGCGUAAAGAGCGCGCAGGUGGUUAAUUAAGUCUGAUGUGAAAGCCCACGGCUUAACCGUGGAGGGUCAUUGGAAACUGGUUGACUUGAGUGCAGAAGAGGGAAGUGGAAUUCCAUGUGUAGCGGUGAAAUGCGUAGAGAUAAGGAGGAACACCAGUGGCGAAGGCGGCUUCCUGGUCUGCAACUGACACUGAGGCGCGAAAGCGUGGGGAGCAAACAGG